Molecule: ribosomal RNA, 902 nt
Filed under: uncultured bacterium
Lineage: Bacteria
Description: bacterial SSU rRNA
Rfam family: Bacterial small subunit ribosomal RNA
Source: RNAcentral
UACGUAGACCUCAAGCAUUAUCCGGAUUUAUUGGGCGUAAAGAGCAUGUAGGAGGUUUCGCGCGUCUUUUGUUAAAGCCCACCGCCUAACGGUGGAGAUGCAGGAGAUACGGCGGAACUAGAGGAGGUUAGAGGCGCAUGGAACUCACGGUGUAGGGGUGAAAUCCGUUGAUAUCGUGGGGAACACCAAAGGCGAAGGCAGUGCACUGGGACCUUCCUGACUCUGAGAUGCGAAAGCGUGGGGAGCAAAAAGGAUUAGAUACCCUUGUAGUCCACGCCCUAAACGAUGCCUGUUUGCUGUUUCGAGUAUCGACCCUCGGAGUGGCGUAGCUAACGCGUUAAACAGGCCGCCUGGGAAGUACGGCCGCAAGGCUAAAACUCAAAGGAAUAGACGGGGACUCGCACAAGCGGUGGAACAUGAGGUUUAAUUCGUCAGUAAGCGAGGAACCUUACCAAGGUUAGAAAUCUAUAAUGACAGCCGGUGGAAACAUUGGCCUUCUCACAAGGACAUUAUGGACAGGUGCUGCAUGGUUGUCGUCAGCUCGUGCUUUGAAGUGUUCCCUUAAGUGGGGUAACGAGCGCAACCCCUAUUACGCGUUACAUGUGUCGCGUGAAACUGCCCCGCCCAAAGAUGAGAAUUAUACGUGCUGUGUAGGCAUGCAUAAUUAUCGUUUUCGGGCGGGGAGGAAGGAGGGGAUGACGUCAAAUCCGCAUGGCCCUUUGAUACCUUGGGCUACACUCGUGUUACAAUGGUCGGGACAAUGGGUUGCCAACGCGUAAGCGGGAGCUAAUCCCAUCAAACCCGGCCCCAGUUCGGAUUGAGGGCUGAAACCUGCCCUCAUGAAGCCGGAAUCGCUAGUAAUCGCAGAUCAGCCACGCUGCGGUGAAUACGUUCUCGAGUCC